GAUGAUAAAUAGCAACUCCACAGCUUCUAUCUGUAGCAUAGAUAGGCUUUGUUCUUUUGUUCAAUCACCUCUUUGACAUAUAUCAAAAUGAGCAAGCUUCUCCUCCUUGUCUUGUCUCCUCUGCUCUUCUGUGCUGUGGCCCAGGGUCUUUGGUGCUUUAAAGGAGACAAAUGGAAUCCAGGUGUUCCAGGUUCUGAGUGCUUUGCCUGUGGUGAAGAACAAUGUUAUGAAUUUUCUACAUAUAUCUGGAAUAAGCUUUUCUAUUGGGAAUCUGGUUGCACCGGUAUGCCUAAUGAAUAUGAUGACUUUCGUAAGCAAUGCAACACGACAGAAACUGAAAAAGAGAUAACAGAAAAAACCAAAUGCUGCACUACUGAUCGCUGUAAUAGCGGAACACCACCCACUUACAUUUAGCCAUUGCUUUAGAAGGGGCAGUGAUGGGAAGAGAAAUCUGCCAUCUGUGUCUCUCCACUCUGCCCUGCUGCACGCAACAUGCCUUCCAGAGAUCCCUUUCAUCCUGUUGCUUAACGAUAUCUAACUACCCUCAAUAAAC
This is a long non-coding RNA of Hemicordylus capensis (graceful crag lizard), 553 nucleotides long. RefSeq lists it as uncharacterized. The transcript is spliced from 3 exons. NCBI's taxonomy places the organism in Eukaryota, Metazoa, Chordata, Lepidosauria, Squamata, Cordylidae. The record is from RefSeq and is a predicted model, not a curated record.